GAUGAACGCUAGCGGCAGGCCUAACACAUGCAAGUCGAGGGAGAGGUUAUCUUCGGGUAACCAAAACCGGCGCACGGGUGCGUAACGCGUAUACAAUCUGCCUUUCACAUAGGGAUAGCCCGAAGAAAUUUGGAUUAAUACCUAAUGGUAUAUAAGAGCGGCAUCGUUUUUAUAUUAAAGCUACGGUGGUGAAAGAUGAGUAUGCGUUCUAUUAGCUAGUUGGAGAGGUAACGGCUCCCCAAGGCGACGAUAGAUAGGGGUUCUGAGAGGGAUGUCCCCCACACUGGUACUGAGAUACGGACCAGACUCCUACGGGAGGCAGCAGUGAGGAAUAUUGGACAAUGGUCGGAAGACUGAUCCAGCCAUGCCGCGUGCAGGAUGAAGGUCCUAUGGAUUGUAAACUGCUUUUGUAAGGGAAGAAUAAGGAGUACGUGUACUUUGAUGACGGUACCUUACGAAUAAGCAUCGGCUAACUCCGUGCCAGCAGCCGCGGUAAUACGGAGGAUGCGAGCGUUAUCCGGAAUCAUUGGGUUUAAAGGGUCCGUAGGCGGGCUGAUAAGUCAGAGGUGAAAGCGCUUAGCUCAACUAAGCAACUGCCUUUGAAACUGUCAGUCUUGAAUGAUUGUGAAGUAGUUGGAAUGUGUAGUGUAGCGGUGAAAUGCUUAGAUAUUACACAGAACACCGAUAGCGAAGGCAUAUUACUAACAAUUUAUUGACGCUGAUGGACGAAAGCGUGGGGAGCGAACAGG
This 749-nucleotide ribosomal RNA is filed under the name uncultured Capnocytophaga sp. RNAcentral describes it as "bacterial SSU rRNA". It matches the Rfam family "Bacterial small subunit ribosomal RNA", at positions 28 to 776 of the family's 1533-position model. Lineage: Bacteria; Pseudomonadati; Bacteroidota; Flavobacteriia; Flavobacteriales; Flavobacteriaceae. The record is from RNAcentral.